ACUCAAAUGAAUUGACGGGGACCCGCACAAGCGGUGGAUGAUGUGGUUCAAUUCGAUGCAACGCGAAAAACCUUACCUACCCUUGACAUGUCGCGAAUCUCGCAGAAAUGUGAGAGUGCCCGCAAGGGAGCGCGAACACAGGUGCUGCAUGGCUGUCGUCAGCUCGUGUCGUGAGAUGUAGUGGUUAAGUCCCGCAACGAGCGCAACCCUUGCUAUUAGUUGCUACAUUUAGUUGAGCACUCUAAUGGGACUGCCGGUGACGAAUCGGAGGAAGGUGGGGAUGACGUCAAGUCCUCAUGGCCUUUAUGGGUAGGGCCACACACGUCAUACAAUGGCCGGUACAGAGGGUCGCCAACCCGCGAGGGGGAGCCAAUCUCUAAAAAGCCGGUCGUAGUCCGGAUUGUAGUCUGCAACUCGACUACAUGAAGUCGGAAUCGCUAGUAAUCGCGGAUCAGCAUGUCGCGGUGAAUACGUUCCCGGGUCUUGUACACACCGCCCGU
This 500-nucleotide ribosomal RNA is filed under the name uncultured bacterium. Its description in RNAcentral is "partial 16S ribosomal RNA". It matches the Rfam family "Bacterial small subunit ribosomal RNA", at positions 899 to 1397 of the family's 1533-position model. The record is from RNAcentral.